UACAGAGGUCUCAAGCGUUGUUCGGAUUCAUUGGGCGUAAAGGGUGUGUAGGUGGCGCGCUAAGUCGGGUGUGAAAUUUCGGAGCUUAACUCCGAAACUGCAUUCGAUACUGGCGUGCCUGAGGACUGGAGAGGAGACUGGAAUUCAUGGUGUAGCAGUGAAAUGCGUAGAGAUCAUGAGGAAGACCAGUGGCGAAGGCGGGUCUCUGGACAGUUCCUGACACUGAGACACGAAGGCCAGGGGAGCAAACGGG
RNAcentral lists this ribosomal RNA (253 nucleotides) under uncultured bacterium. Its description in RNAcentral is "partial 16S ribosomal RNA". It matches the Rfam family "Bacterial small subunit ribosomal RNA", at positions 524 to 776 of the family's 1533-position model. The record is from RNAcentral.